CAACACGUGGAUAAUUUAGUUGAAUUUAGUUUGUAUGGAAUUUGGUUUUUUAAAGGUCCAAUAUUGAUAUUAUAAAAAGGAUUAGCCCUGUUGGAAAAUAGUUAUUCUAAAUGGUGUUAUCCAUAGAAAUUAAAACAAAAGAUGAUGAAAUGGCGUAAAGAUGGCGGGGUGAAGAAGGUUGAGGAGAAGGAGGAUAAAUACUGGUUAAACCUAGAGACACCAGAUCAGAGAAAAUCCAGAAUACGUUCCUUGUAUAUUGUACAUCUCGCUAUGCUCGUUUUCUCGCUUGGAUUUUCUAUCGUUCUUACAGGUAU
Molecule: long non-coding RNA, 314 nt
Organism: Eurytemora carolleeae
Lineage: Eukaryota; Metazoa; Arthropoda; Copepoda; Calanoida; Temoridae
Exons: 4
Source: RefSeq, a predicted model, not a curated record